RNAcentral lists this ribosomal RNA (278 nucleotides) under uncultured Actinomycetales bacterium. RNAcentral's name for it is "partial 16S ribosomal RNA". It matches the Rfam family "Bacterial small subunit ribosomal RNA", at positions 505 to 782 of the family's 1533-position model. The record is from RNAcentral. Lineage: Bacteria; Bacillati; Actinomycetota; Actinomycetes; Actinomycetales.
GUGCCAGCAGCCGCGGUAAUACGUAGGGCGCGAGCGUUGUCCGGAAUUAUUGGGCGUAAAGAGCUCGUAGGCGGUUUGUCGCGUCUGCUGUGAAAACGCAAGGCUUAACCUUGCGCCUGCAGUGGGUACGGGCAGACUAGAGUGCGGUAGGGGAGACUGGAAUUCCUGGUGUAGCGGUGGAAUGCGCAGAUAUCAGGAGGAACACCGACGGCGAAGGCAGGUCUCUGGGCCGUUACUGACGCUGAGGAGCGAAAGCAUGGGGAGCGAACAGGAUUAGA